AAGCCGUGAUGGGGGCAAUGAGUGGUAUAGCUUUUAAACCUCUCCCAAGCUUCACAGAAUGUUUUAUUGUUCUUCUGGGUAAAGCCUGAGAUUUUGUUCCUCAGCAG
Small nucleolar RNA from Arabidopsis thaliana (thale cress), 107 nucleotides. It matches the Rfam family "Plant small nucleolar RNA R71". From Rfam's summary of the family: R71 is a member of the C/D box family of snoRNAs containing the C (UGAUGA) and D (CUGA) box motifs. Multiple nearly identical copies of this snoRNA have been identified in Arabidopsis, and it is thought to function as a 2'-O-ribose methylation guide for 18S ribosomal RNA. NCBI's taxonomy places the organism in Eukaryota, Viridiplantae, Streptophyta, Magnoliopsida, Brassicales, Brassicaceae. The record is from Rfam.